GUGAAGUGGCGCUGCUACCAUGCAAGUCGACGAUGACGGUGGUGCUUCCACCGCCUGAUUAGUGGCGAACGGGUGAGUAACACGUGAGUAACCUGCCCUCCACUUCGGGAUAACCUCGGGAAAUCGUGGCUAAUACCGGAUAUGAGCACUCAUCGCAUGGUGGGUGUUGGAAAGAUUUAUCGGUGGGGGAUGGACUCGCGGCCUAUCAGUUUGUUGGUGAGGUGAUGGCUCACCAAGACGAUGACGGGUAGCCGGCCUGAGAGGGCGACCGGCCACACUGGGACUGAGACACGGCCCAGACUCCUACGGGAGGCAGCAGUGGGGAAUAUUGCACAAUGGGCGAAAGCCUGAUGCAGCGACGCCGCGUGGGGGAUGACGGCCUUCGGGUUGUAAACCCCUUUCAGUAGGGAAGAAGCGAGAGUGACGGUACCUGCAGAAGAAGCGCCGGCUAACUACGUGCCAGCAGCCGCGGUAAUACGUAGGGCGCAAGCGUUGUCCGGAAUUAUUGGGCGUAAAGAGCUUGUAGGUGGCUUGUCGCGUCUGCCGUGAAAACCCGAGGCUCAACCUCGGGCGUGCGGUGGGUACGGGCAGGCUAGAGUGUGGUAGGGGAGACUGGAACUCCUGGUGUAGCGGUGAAAUGCGCAGAUAUCAGGAAGAACACCGAUGGCGAAGGCAGGUCUCUGGGCCAUUACUGACACUGAGAAGGGAAAGCAUGGGUAGCGAACAGGAUUAGAUACCCUGGUAGUCCAUGCCGUAAACGUUGGGCACUAGGUGUGGGGGACAUUCCACGUUUUCCGCGCGUAGCUAACGCAUUAAGUGCCCGCUGGGGAGUACGGCCGCAAGGCUAAACUCAAAGGAAUUGACUGGGGCCCGCACAGCGGCGAGCAUGCUGAUUAAUUCGAUGCAACGCGAAAACUUUACCAAGGCUUGACAUG
RNAcentral lists this ribosomal RNA (935 nucleotides) under Brachybacterium sp. R214115. Its description in RNAcentral is "bacterial SSU rRNA". It matches the Rfam family "Bacterial small subunit ribosomal RNA", at positions 35 to 988 of the family's 1533-position model. The record is from RNAcentral. Lineage: Bacteria; Bacillati; Actinomycetota; Actinomycetes; Micrococcales; Dermabacteraceae.